RNAcentral lists this ribosomal RNA (263 nucleotides) under uncultured bacterium. RNAcentral's name for it is "partial 16S ribosomal RNA". It matches the Rfam family "Bacterial small subunit ribosomal RNA", at positions 67 to 334 of the family's 1533-position model. The record is from RNAcentral.
CGGCACCUAUCUUCGGAUAGAAGCGAGUGGCGAACGGCUGAGUAACACGUGGAGAACCUGCCCCCUCCCCCGGGAUAGCCGCCCGAAAGGACGGGUAAUACCGGAUACCCCGGGGUGCCGCAUGGCACCCCGGCUAAAGCCCCGACGGAGGGGAUGGCUCCGCGGCCCAUCAGGUAGACGGCGGGGUGACGGCCCACCGUGCCGACAACGGGUAGCCGGGUUGAGAGACCGACCGGCCAGAUUGGGACUGAGACACGGCCCAG